AUUGAACGCUGGCGGCAGGCUUCACACAUGCAAGUCGAACGAGUGGCGGACGGGUGAGAAAUGAUUGGGAAUCUAGCUUAUGGAGGGGGAUAACUACGGGAAACUGUAGCUAAUACCGCGUACCAUAGGAUGAGCCCAAAGGGGAUUAGGUAGUUGGUGGGGUAAAGGUUCACCAAGCCGACGAUCUCUAGCGGGUCUGCGAGGAUGACCAGCCACACUGGGACUGAUACACGGCCCAGACUCCUACGGGAGGCAGCAGUGGGGAAUAUUGCGCAAUGGGGGCAACCUGACGCAGCCAUGCCGCGUGAAUGAAGAAGGCCUUCGGGUUGUAAAGUUCUUUCGGUAGCGAGGCGUUACCUACAGAAGAAGCACCGGCUAACUCCGUGCCAGCAGCCGCGGUAAUUC
Molecule: ribosomal RNA, 405 nt
Filed under: uncultured bacterium
Lineage: Bacteria
Description: partial 16S ribosomal RNA
Rfam family: Bacterial small subunit ribosomal RNA
Source: RNAcentral